AUGCACGCUGGCGGCGUGCCUCAUCCCUGCCAGUCGAGCGAACAGACGAGGAGCUUGCUCCUCUGACGUUAGCGGCGGACGGGUGAGUAACACGUGGAUAACCUACCUAUAAGACUGGGAUAACUUCGGGAAACCGGAGCUAAUACCGGAUAAUAUAUUGAACCGCAUGGUUCAAUAGUGAAAGACGGUUUUGCUGUCACUUAUAGAUGGAUCCGCGCCGCAUUAGCUAGUUGGUAAGGUAACGGCUUACCAAGGCAACGAUGCGUAGCCGACCUGAGAGGGUGAUCGGCCACACUGGAACUGAGACACGGUCCAGACUCCUACGGGAGGCAGCAGUAGGGAAUCUUCCGCAAUGGGCGAAAGCCUGACGGAGCAACGCCGCGUGAGUGAUGAAGGUCUUCGGAUCGUAAAGCUCUGUUAUUAGGGAAGAACAAAUGUGUAAGUAACUAUGCACGUCUUGACGGUACCUAAUCAGAAAGCCACGGCUAACUACGUG
This 496-nucleotide ribosomal RNA is filed under the name uncultured bacterium. Its description in RNAcentral is "partial 16S ribosomal RNA". It matches the Rfam family "Bacterial small subunit ribosomal RNA", at positions 29 to 507 of the family's 1533-position model. The record is from RNAcentral.